CACCAUCACUACCUCGUAAAAAAAAAAAAAGAGUGAUUGUUUAUAGUAACUUAUUCCACGAAAUGGCUUGUUAAUCAUUAGCACCCACUACACUCUGAGAGUGGUUGGCGUUAGGAAGCUGUAGAAACACUGCCAAAUCAGAUUGGAGCCUGGUGCUGCCUCCUGGCUUCCUAAACCCCCAUUCAAACCGUCCAACCCCUGCCAGCAUAGAAAACGGACGUUAAACAAUAAUGAUGGUGAUGAGGAUGAUGUGGGGUAUUUGUGUGUGUGCGUGCAUAUGUUUGUGGGCACACGUGUAAUAUAUCAAAUACCAAACAACAUAAAUACCUCAUUUAUCAAAAUUAUCACCAUUUCAAUAGAAUGUGUCAAAUGAGAAGAGGAAAUAGACUUAGUGGAACACAAAGGAAAUAGAGCAUACUAGCAGUAUCUAGCAUACUAGAUUAUGUUAGGAUUAUUAAGCUAAUCAAGUGCUUUGUUUCAAACCAA
Octopus sinensis (East Asian common octopus) is the source of this 486-nucleotide long non-coding RNA. RefSeq lists it as uncharacterized. The record is from RefSeq and is a predicted model, not a curated record. The transcript has 3 exons. NCBI's taxonomy places the organism in Eukaryota, Metazoa, Mollusca, Cephalopoda, Octopoda, Octopodidae.